RNAcentral lists this ribosomal RNA (507 nucleotides) under Trigonopterus luwukensis. RNAcentral describes it as "SSU rRNA". It matches the Rfam family "Eukaryotic small subunit ribosomal RNA", at positions 32 to 519 of the family's 1831-position model. The record is from RNAcentral. Lineage: Eukaryota; Metazoa; Arthropoda; Insecta; Coleoptera; Curculionidae.
UUGUCUCAAAGAUUAAGCCAUGCAUGUCUCAGUACAAGCCAAAUUAAGGUGAAACCGCGAAAGGCUCAUUAAAUCAGUUAUGGUUCCUUAGAUCGUACCCACAAUUACUUGGAUAACUGUGGUAAUUCUAGAGCUAAUACAUGCAAACAGAGCUCCGACCGGAGACGGGAGGAGUGCUUUUAUUAGAUCAAAACCAAUCGGUGGCGGGUUCGCUCGUUAUCGUACAACUUGGUGACUCUGAAUAACUUUACGCUGAUCGCACGGUCAUCGCACCGGCGACGCAUCUUUCAAAUGUCUGCCUUAUCAACUGUCGAUGGUAGGUUCUGCGCCUACCAUGGUUGUAACGGGUAACGGGGAAUCAGGGUUCGAUUCCGGAGAGGGAGCCUGAGAAACGGCUACCACAUCCAAGGAAGGCAGCAGGCGCGCAAAUUACCCACUCCCGGCACGGGGAGGUAGUGACGAAAAAUAACGAUACGGGACUCAUCCGAGGCCCCGUAAUCRGAAUGA